This 805-nucleotide long non-coding RNA is filed under the name Homo sapiens (human). Its description in RNAcentral is "HSALNT0037141". Lineage: Eukaryota; Metazoa; Chordata; Mammalia; Primates; Hominidae. The record is from RNAcentral.
AAAACUCAGCUCAUUGUGCUGUCCUGGGUCACCUCGGCAGUCACUUCGCCUCUCAGACCUCAGGUUCCUUGUCUAUAAGCUGAGACAACUUCCCCAGUGUACAUGAUCGUGCUGGGAUGAAGAUCACAGUUAAGGUCACAGGUGAGCAUGUUCUUGUGUGGCUGGCUACAUGGGACCCGUCUUACUGGGACAUCAUAAUUUAUCAGACAUCUCCUAGCAUUGGACAUUCAAGCUGCUUCCUGUUUUUUUGUUAUUAUAAUUAGACCACAAUGAGAGUAUGCACACUUUUGGAAAAAGGUGUAUCUGAUGUCUUGUCCUUGUUGCCUAAGCUCUCUGAAGUACAGAAAAGCAGUAGAGUUUUAAACACAUCUUCAAGGUAGGCAAAGUAUACAAACAUGAGCCACUUGUGCAUGGAUUAGGCCUCGCUCUCGCCAUGUACAGAUCAUAUGCGUGUCCUACCAAACUCACCUCGAGUCUCUGUUGUCAGUGGGCUCCUGACAUUCAGCAGGAGGAGAGACAACACUGGAAAGCAGGCGACUCCUUCAGACCCUGUGGGGCAGCGUGGCUUGUGUGUCCUUGGCUCUGCACCGCCCUGCAGGAACAAGUGAUCCCACUGGAUAGGGCCCGGGAUGGAGCACACAUAGGCAGGUGGUUGGGCCUGGAAGACUUUGGAUGCAUCAAGCUCUAGGUUUCCAUUCUGUGUUGGUGUUCAUACAUCACCAUUGCUUUCAACUUAGGGCUGCUGCUGAACAGGACCAAUGUCCACACGGGAUUACCAUCUACACCUCCCCAGCCCCAACGUGUG